GCCAGGCAUGGUGGUGCAUGCCUAUAGUUCCAGCUACCCUGGAGGCUGAGGCAGGAGGAUCGCUUGAGCCCAGGAAGUAGAGGCUGCAGUGAGCCAUGAUUGUGUCACUGCACUCCUGCCUGGGUGACAGAGUGAGAUCCUGUCUCAA
Molecule: unclassified non-coding RNA, 148 nt
Organism: Papio anubis (olive baboon)
Lineage: Eukaryota; Metazoa; Chordata; Mammalia; Primates; Cercopithecidae
Rfam family: Metazoan signal recognition particle RNA
About the family: The signal recognition particle (SRP) is a universally conserved ribonucleoprotein. It is involved in the co-translational targeting of proteins to membranes.
Source: Ensembl